GAUGAACGCUAGCGGGAGGCUUAACACAUGCAAGUCGAGGGGCAGCAUAGGGUAGCAAUACUCUGAUGGCGACCGGCAAACGGGUGAGUAACGCGUAUGCAACCUACCCUGUACAGGGGGAUAACCCGGAGAAAUUCGGACUAAUAUCCCGUAAUAAUAUCCGGAGGCAUCUUUGGAUAUUUAAAGUUUCGACGGUACGGGAUGGGCAUGCGUAACAUUAGCUGGUUGGUAAGGUAACGGCUUACCAAGGCUAUGAUGUUUAGGGGUCCUGAGAGGGUGGUCCCCCACACUGGGACUGAGAUACGGCCCAGACUCCUACGGGAGGCAGCAGUUGGGAAUCUUAGGCAAUGGACGAAAGUCUGACCUAGCGACGCCGCGUGAGGGAAGAAGGCCUUCGGGUUGUAAAGUUCUUUUAUAUGUGAGCAGUGCUUCUUAUAUUAACAGUAUGGGGAGAGAGAUAUUAGCAUAUAGAAUAAGCAACGGCUAACUCCGUGCCCAGCAGCCGCGGUAAUAC
RNAcentral lists this ribosomal RNA (514 nucleotides) under uncultured bacterium. RNAcentral describes it as "bacterial SSU rRNA". It matches the Rfam family "Bacterial small subunit ribosomal RNA", at positions 28 to 526 of the family's 1533-position model. The record is from RNAcentral.